CUCUUAUGCACCCAGCGUUCACCAACAGAGAAAUCUAGUCAUUGACAGUUGGAGCAAGAUGUCAGGACUGAUCAGAUUUCCCACCAUGCAUCUGGACAACCCUGUCAUCACAAUCAGUUUGGUUCCAGAUUGUUGCUUGGAGUUUGAAUAAUAAUAAAGUGGUUGUUAAAAAUAAACAACUUUUUAAAUUCAGAUUUUGAGGACAAAUUUGAUCUUUUUAAACAUUUGAAUAGAUAAACUCUCAUAACGCAUGAUUAAACCGCUGAAAGAAAUUCUUUGGAAACAGAAGAAAAUUUACAGCUGAAGCAGAAGCUAAAGAUCCCAUCAAAGCAUCAAAGAGACACCAUGAAAAUUUCCUGUUGUCCAAAAGUACCCAUUUAUAACAAGUAGGUACUUCAGGUGUCAGAGAGGGGGACAUAUGGUUCCCAUGCUGAUCAAAACAAAGUUUCAACAUGAGAAGAAAAAAAAAAAAGCAGGCAGCCAAAACGUCCCAUCACUACUUGACCACCCAGCUUCAUCAUUUGCAAACUUUGUUUUCACAUAUUGGGCUCUGAGUUGAGUCUGCUGCUGUCGUCAUGCUGCUGCUGCAGAGACUGGAGCUUCCCCCGAGCCUCGGACAGGCCCCGCCUCGCUGACUG
Molecule: long non-coding RNA, 638 nt
Organism: Gambusia affinis (western mosquitofish)
Lineage: Eukaryota; Metazoa; Chordata; Actinopteri; Cyprinodontiformes; Poeciliidae
Exons: 3
Source: RefSeq, a predicted model, not a curated record